AGUAAAUUAAACUUAAAUAAAUUACAGAAUUGACAAAAGCAUGAAAUUAAGGUGAAAGGAUAGGUGUCGGACUAGCUAAAGGGUUCUUCUCCACACAUGACACAUAUGCAACCUAAAUUGAUUUUCAGUUGUUCUUUCAAUAAAUUGUAAAUCUCAAUGUUCCAAGUUAAUUAGGUCCGCUUAAAUUAACUCUUAGAUUUCCCUAGAUUCAUUGGAUUGAAUGGAAUACGUAUUACAACCAA
RNAcentral lists this long non-coding RNA (242 nucleotides) under Malus domestica (apple). RNAcentral describes it as "long non-coding RNA (MDOM_LNC010346)". The record is from RNAcentral. Lineage: Eukaryota; Viridiplantae; Streptophyta; Magnoliopsida; Rosales; Rosaceae.